This 3142-nucleotide long non-coding RNA is filed under the name Fragaria vesca (wild strawberry). RNAcentral describes it as "long non-coding RNA (FVES_LNC005327)". Lineage: Eukaryota; Viridiplantae; Streptophyta; Magnoliopsida; Rosales; Rosaceae. The record is from RNAcentral.
CCAUACACGAACUCUCUCUCCUGAUUCUUCCCUUUUCUCCUUCUACUUUGUUCCCGAUUUCAUUCACUUGCUCAAAUUCCACUGUGCUUGGCUUUUGAAAUACCGUGCAAAUUCUACUGAGUUCAGUUUCUUCAUCUAAUCUGAAUUUAGUUCCUGCAAGUCUCUUGUUUCUAAUCUUCUAUAACAUUACUUGUUUUCGAUUAAUCUAUUUCCAAAUAGAAGGGAGUCUGAUUCGCAUUCAAAUUCCAUUUUUAGGUGGCUGGAUCGUUAUGGUGGAUAGGGUACUUAUGUGCGGUUGUUUUGUUUGAUUUCUCUUGCUGGUUUGGCAGUUGAUUCGUAGGAAAUUGAGGUAGGGAAAGCAACAUUUCUUUAUAGCUUUGAUUCUAUCUUGGUGUGUGUUUGGAAAGAAUGGUUGUUCUACUUUCGUUAUUGUUCUGUGUAAUCUUCUUGUCUGUUGAACUGUAUUGAUUGUUCAAGCUUGAGUUUGAUUAAAGCUUGACUGAAAAAGAUGUUCUACUAUGAGUGUUGUGCCUCGUUUAAAAAUCUGGGUAUUUAUUGGUUCAUCAGUAAGUUGUCAAGCUUGAGGGGAAUUCAUUAUUGUUCGAGCUGAUUUGUCUUGGCUCUUCAGUUUUGAUUUUGGAACCGUCCUUCUUUUAUAUAUAUACAAGAUGAUAGUGAUCCUAGUAUCUUUUCAGUUAGAUGAAUCACGACCAGUGAACUAUCAAUUGAAGUUGAUACAAUCUAUAUUCAAUUGGUAAUUGUAAACUAGUUUCUUGACCUCUCUCUUGUCAACAUCCUUAUAACCGUGUAUCCAUCUUUCCUUUCUCUUGUACAAGAAUUUGUCUUGUAUCAAGUUCUUUCCAAUAUUGUAAUUUGUUCAAGAGAAAGUUAAACUCUUUUCCCUUAUAAUCAGUUUUGAAUAUCCUGAGCCCUGAGGCCAUCUUUUAUUUGAUACCUAGAGUUUGAUCCUUCACUAUCCUUGUCGCAUUUUCUCUAGUGUUAAAGGAUCCCCAUUCUUGAUUUUAGUUCUCAAAGUAAAUCAAGUAUUCUUGAUGACCAGCCUUACUGAACAACAAAUAAACUCUUCCCUCAAUGAAAUCAUUAUCUCUAAUUUGAUUACUACAAAGACUUUGCCCAUUUUCUUGUUAUUCUUUCUAAGUACCAACUUCUAUUCACAACAAAGCUUCCUCGAGUACAAUGUUGCUAUUGUUUUAUCUCUGCUAUGCUCUGUGUUAUUAUAAGCCAAAAGCCAAGUUUAUUAUAUUAUUCUUUUUAACGCAUCUGUAUUUGAAACUCAUUCGGCAUUGUUUGAAAUUCCAAGCUCAUGUAUCUCUAUUGAUAUAAUUUACAAGUUUUCUAAGUUUCUAAUGCUCUACUUCCUCAGCAAGUUGCUCAACUUUAAGUACUCUUUCUUGACAUACUUCACUCUAUUAUUAAAGGGCAUUUCAGUUCCUUUGGAAAUCCUUGAAGGAUUGAUUUGAUUUGGAAAAGCAAGUGUUUCAUGAAAAAUCAGAUUUGGUUUUAUUUGUUUUAUUCGGUUAGGCCCGGUGAAUUGUGUGAGUAGGGAUUGUGUCUCCCUUGGGUUAUUUAACCCUAAACCUGAUCAGGGUACCGCAUGUGCGGGGUUUGCUCGGUGGUAUAGCUGGGCGGUGGGCUCUAACCGGUAUUUUAAGGAUUUGCUAACAUUUGAGUUAAUGAAUUGUUAUUGGCAAAUACUGCAGAUGUGUUGCAGUGAGUGAAAGGAGUGAUUUCUGGUUUUGUUAUAAAAUCUAAAGCUGAAAUUAUUUAUGGUCUUGUUCUGAUUUCAUUCGUUUUACCAGGACUGCUCCCUUUCCAGUUUAUUGAGAUGUUUAUUACCAGUUUGAUAUAUUCCGGCCCUCGGUUCUUUUAUGUUUAUACUUCCUGUUCAGCUAAAAUGAUUUGAUCCUACUCUGAGUCUACUAUUGUAAAAGUAUGAGCUGUUGUUUUCAUUGUUUUCAUCUGCUGAAAAUUAAUUUGGUUAACUCAGUAAAUUCUACUUCACUUCCAUCACUUUUCUGAUGCAUACUGAUUUAGAAUCCUUGCUAUGAUGACUGUUCGCUGUACCUACUGAGCUUAAAGCUCAUUCCUUGUAUUUUUGUUGUGGUUUUCAGGAAAAGAGUCCAUGAACGGACAAAUUAGUGAUAUUCCGGAACUAUCUUGAGUUGAUUAUGUGUGGAGCUUAGUUUUGCUUUUUUGGAGAAUUUGAUGGACAUUAUUUUGCUUGUUAGAUGUGUAUAUGCUGUUGAAAAGUGUUCAUCAUUUCAGAGCUCCUAUCUGGUUGUUUUAGUAGCCCUGUAUUGUACAUAAAAUGUGCACAACUGAUGUACUAACCUGGGUGUAUCUAGUAUCAUAUGUGGUGGAAACUUUGUAAUCAAUUUGCCCCUUGUGAAUUAUGAUAUGAAACUAUGUUAAUUCCUUUGCCCUUCAAUGUCUAAUUAAAGACCUUUCUAUUUGAACAAUGAUCAUAGUCACACGAAUGUGUCAAGUGUAUAUGAAUACUAUCUUUAGCUUGGUUCCUCUUAUUAUGCAGACUACAAACUUCUCUUAUAUAAGAACUUGUCGACUUAUUCAUGCUUUUACACUUAAGGCUCAUAUCUAUUGUAGGAACUCUUGUAGUCGGAUUAUCUAUCACUCUUGGAUUAGUUUCUUUGAGAAGUUAAACACUCAAUUUCCAGAAUCCCAGAGUAGUUCUGUUUCAUUCUUGCUCAAUAUUCCAUUAAAAAAAAAAACACCUUGGACUGAUUCCUAAUUUAUCUUUCCACCACAUUAUCUAGUCAUAACUCGGGUUGGGUUGUGACACCAUUAAAUUUGACCUUUUCUUUUUGUUCUGUUAUAUCUCCAUAUUGGUUGCUUUGACUGGAAUUUUCACUUGUCCCUCUUCUCUUUUGAGUGGUCAUCAGACUUGAUUUAGUAUUACAACUUUGAUCAAUUGGUGAAACUGUUUAUUGGUGAUAUGUAUUUGAUAGAUGAUCAUAUUGAGUCGGUGUUUGGAUAGCUUGAUCUGUUAUAAACUGAUUAUGAAUGGCCGAGUGUUCUUCAAGUGUUCUUCUCUGCAACGUUUGUUUUUUUUUUUUUAAUUUUUUUUACAUAUAUGCUGGCUGUUCUUCUUCUUCAUGCUUGG